GGGUAACCUCGCCCAUAAGACUGGGAUAACUCCGGGAAACCGGGGCUAAUACCGGAUAACAUUUUGAACCGCAUGGUUCGAAAUUGAAAGGCGGCUUCGGCUGUCACUUAUGGAUGGACCCGCGUCGCAUUAGCUAGUUGGUGAGGUAACGGCUCACCAAGGCAACGAUGCGUAGCCGACCUGAGAGGGUGAUCGAGCAACGCCGCGUGAGUGAUGAAGGCUUUCGGGUCGUAAAACUCUGUUGUUAGGGAAGAACAAGUGCUAGUUGAAUAAGCUGGCACCUUGACGGUACCUAACCAGAAAGCCACGGCUAACUACGUGCCAGCAGCCGCGGUAAUACGUAGGUGGCAAGCGUUAUCCGGAAUUAUUGGGCGUAAAGCGCGCGCAGGUGGUUUCUUAAGUCUGAUGUGAAAGCCCACGGCUCAACCGUGGAGGGUCAUUGGAAACUGGGAGACUUGAGUGCAGAAGAGGAAAGUGGAAUUCCAUGUGUAGCGGUGAAAUGCGUAGAGAUAUGGAGGAACACCAGUGGCGAAAGCGACUUUCUGGUCUGUAACUGACACUGAGGCGCGAAAGCGUGGGAGCAACAGAUUAGAUACCCUGGUAGUCACGCGUAACGAUGAGUGCUAAGUGUUAGAGGUUCCGCCCCUUUAGUGCUGAAGGUUAACG
Molecule: ribosomal RNA, 666 nt
Filed under: Bacillus sp. (in: firmicutes)
Lineage: Bacteria; Bacillati; Bacillota; Bacilli; Caryophanales; Bacillaceae
Description: bacterial SSU rRNA
Rfam family: Bacterial small subunit ribosomal RNA
Source: RNAcentral